RNAcentral lists this transfer RNA (62 nucleotides) under uncultured Granulicatella sp. It matches the Rfam family "tRNA", at positions 6 to 65 of the family's 71-position model. From Rfam's summary of the family: Transfer RNA (tRNA) molecules are approximately 80 nucleotides in length. Their secondary structure includes four short double-helical elements and three loops (D, anti-codon, and T loops). The record is from RNAcentral. Lineage: Bacteria; Bacillati; Bacillota; Bacilli; Lactobacillales; Carnobacteriaceae.
GUUGGUCGAGUGGUUAAGACAUCGCACUUUCACUGCGGUAGCACGGGUUCAAAUCUCGCACG